ACCCCAGCCCCUGGGAUGAUGCUGCCUACAUUCAGGAUGGCCAUCCACUUCCCUCCACUGCUAAUUUGUUUGCGAACAUUCUCCUUAACAUGUCCAGAGUUUGCUAGGGUUUGGAAUCAGACUUCUCUGUGCUGGCCUCAAGCUACAUUGUGUGUCAAGAUGGCUGUGUCUGUGCAAUGAACCCAAGCUCCACAUUUCAUCUUCCCCUGACCAUGGAAGAAUUUUCUUGGGUGUAAGCAAGAUGACUUCAAUUUCCAUAGCACUCCCACAAUGGACGGAAAAAUAACUGAGAACAUUUUCAGAUGCAGCUUUUGAUGAGAAACACAUCUUUUCCCUCAUUGUCUCCCAGAAGACUGCUUGUCUUGAUAGCUGUGGGGAUUGGUACCAUGUUUAGAAAUGGUUCCAAGUGAUAGAAUGGCAGAAGGCAAGGCGUGCAUCUGGGCUCCAUUCACAUUCUGAGACCUCUUCAAGAGGAACUAAAAUCCAUAAGAAAAGCUGAUAUCUCAGAUUUCCACAUAGGCUCAUUUCCUAGAACACACACAACAAAUCACCGUGUACUUGGUGACUUAGAUUAAUAAAACUAUUCUCUCAUA
Mastomys coucha (southern multimammate mouse) is the source of this 593-nucleotide long non-coding RNA. RefSeq lists it as uncharacterized. The record is from RefSeq and is a predicted model, not a curated record. Lineage: Eukaryota; Metazoa; Chordata; Mammalia; Rodentia; Muridae. The transcript is spliced from 2 exons.